Molecule: non-coding RNA, 3566 nt
Organism: Schizosaccharomyces pombe (fission yeast)
Lineage: Eukaryota; Fungi; Ascomycota; Schizosaccharomycetes; Schizosaccharomycetales; Schizosaccharomycetaceae
Source: the annotation of a GenBank genome assembly
ACCACUACCACUUCCACUUACCACUUACACUUACCACAAGCACUACCACCACCACCACCACUUCCACUUACCACUUCCACUUACCACUUCCACUUACCACUUCCACUUACCACUUCCACUUACCACUUCCACUUACCACUUCCACUUACCACUUCCACUUACCACUUCCACUUACCACUUCCAUUACUACCACGACUACCACUAACCAUCACCACUUUCAUCUCCAUUCUUGUCAUUAUUGGCUUGUUGUACGUUGUUCAAAUGUUUCAACGUAUGUACAUUUGUGACUACGAUUUCUUGUUAGCGAUAUAAACGAAGAGGAUAAAGACUUUGGAGUAAAUAAUUUUGGCCGUGCCACUAGCAUAAUGUAUUUGUGCGUCUAGGUAUCCUUAGCGUUGCAAGUGGAAAGUGGCUUCACACUAUAAAUGGUUGACACAGCUAAUACAUUAGACAUAAACUUUCUCAGCAUUCACGAACAGUAAAAAUACUAUUGGUAAAUGAUUCAUGGAUAUAUAGUAUUAGUAUUUGGCAUUCGUUUCGCUUAUGAAUUGUGAUUGAACCGAUAUCGUAUCAUCAUUAAAAGUUUCCUGUACAUCUUCUACAUCAUUCAAACAUGUGGAAGAAUCAUAAAUUUCACAAAAAUAAUGUCUCAAUCGCAUACGUAUUGUCUGCUCUGACUUGGCUUGUCUUCUGUAUGUGAUCCAAAUAGACGAGAAUGUCAAUCCAUCAUGUACGACCAAUCACACUUCCUAUAGCUGAAACCGAGUGCAAAUGCUUUUGUAGCAAUCAUGAUCUGUGCCUUUCCAAGUUAGGGGUUCCAAGACUCGUCAAAGUGAAUUUUUCAUUCUUCUUCAUUUAAAUCUCUCGUGUAAAUGGUUAUCAAGAUGUGAUGAGAGAACAAGUCAGGGUGGUCGAAAAGGAUGCUUAAUUAAUGUACGGUGAACGUUUCAUGUUUAUUCAUUGAAUCACCUUUCCAAAGUCUAUUAUUUUGUUUUUAUCAACAUUCGAAAAUUCAAGGGAAAGCUUAAAUCUCUUCUAAGAAUACAUGCAGAAACAAGAAAAAUGGUUUCCCGCCCAGUGGAUGCUUCUGUGAAUACACAAAAGUUUUGUAUGAAAGGUUAAAGCGGUUGUUUGGCACUGAAUGUAACUACCAAGGAAAAAGUAAUGCUAAGCAAAUUUAAUGAUGCAUAUAUAAUUGGGACAAUUGCAACAUUUGCAAUGUUUUGCCAAAGCGAAAUUGUAUCUUUCGUUUGCGUAUAAGGAAUGUGCCUCGUCAAAUUAUCAUCCAUCCCAGCUGAACAAAUACUGUCAAAGAUUUCAAAAAAUACCGUGAAGCAUUUGCUUUAUUAACGAUGUUACUCAAUAAAAAGAUAUUCAUUUGUGGCAUAACAAGUUCUCAAUUCGAUUCCAAGUACAUGGAGAGCGUAUGUUGAAAUUAAUAAAUCUAAAAUGGUGAUUAAGGAAGGAUUACUGUGCAUCUUUGAAAGUCAUUCAAUUCCUUAAUUAAAAACGACCAAUAUGCUGCGGUUCACCCUUAACAUCAUGUUUUUAACCAACGACAUCAUGGGUAGUAAAAUAAGUAAAACCAUAUUCAUAUUCUUUCUUAAUUUUCUCAAUUUUGAUCGUAUUUCGUUUUUUUCCACAACACCAGAUAUUAAAAUCGAUAAAGAACUUUUUCCAUCCGCAGUUGGGAGUACAUCAUUCCUACUUCGAUAUACUUUUGAAAGAGAAAAGUGAACCGAUUGGAAUUGUUUCGACAACACGAAUUUUACUUCUAGGUCAUAUAUUUAUGGCGAUGCCAAACAACAAUAUUGUUGAGACAGUAAGUUAAGCAAAUGGCUAAAUAAAUCCAAGACUGUUGUUGAGUGCUGUGGAUCUCAAUAUUAUCAGUAUCUACUCUUCUCGAUGAUCCUGUAAAUUUUUGUUAUCUUUUUUUAUUUGCAGUUACUGAUAAUACUAGCAUUUUGCAUGCUUUUUUUUAUUUGGAUGUUCUUCCAAUUGAUCAAUACAGUAACUUUAGAACUAUCAUCGCUAUGCCUUUAAAUGACCGCACUAAAAGCAUGGUACCGAAGCACUGACAUAACAGAGAGGUUCAGAAAGGAAUUUAAAGAUUGACUUUUUCGAUAAACUUCAUGUUACAAGUCUUAUCGUUUGUGUUUAUAAAUCAUCAGCCUCUCUCUAUAUCUCUAUAUCUCUAUAUCUCUAUAUAUCAGAUAUAAAGAUGCGAGUUUUGAAGUAGACAUUCCGCACAAAGUCUAGUACACCAUGUCUCUUGUGCUCAGGCUGGUUGUCCUGCAAAAAUGUACAACAGGCAAAUGGAUGUUUCAUCAAAGAUGGACUCCUUUGCCUCAUACUUAUUGAUGGCGAAGCUAGAUCCGUUAUCAUCUUGAGAAAACACAUCGUUGUCUUCAGAGUAGUGAUAGUUCUUAUCGUUGUAGUUAUAGUUGUAGUUAUAGUUAUAGUUGUAGUUGUAAUAACUCUUUCAACAAGUCCUGAAUCUUGGCAAACAGACCCUCAUACAGUGCUGUCAGCUCACUCAAGUCCAAUCGCACCAUGUUAAUUAAACGCAUCUCCAAUGCACGGGUACAUAGAAUUACUUCGAGACUGAAACAAUACGGUGCUUGGGCUUAGUCCUUGUAGUGUAUUUUGCAUACAUACCCUUCUGUUCGAAUGAUAUCCCUAAUGACUUUGUGGGUUUCGUAAAGAACAUCAUAUAGAUUUCUUUGACCAAGUGUAAUAAAGCAAAACACACGGACAUAGUAUGGAUAUGGACACAGCAUGGAUAUGGACACAAGCAACACUACCAGUCGUUUGAAACGAUGAAAUGGGCAACAAGUCGAUUUGUUUUUCAUCUAUCAAUCGUUGUAAUUCACAUGCAGCUACAAGACGACACGUUAUAUUUAGGGUGCAAAGCAGGUAGAGAUUUCAUAGGCAUAUUUCGAAGUACCAGCUUUAUGCCAAAACAUGCAUGCAUGCAAGAAACUCCAUAACUUCGUUUGCGCAACUCCUGCUUAUCGUCUUCUUUCUAUACCCAUGCUGUUGGAUCAAUGAAUGAACGUAGCAAUAGAUACAAGAUAUAGCGCCACACUUUUGAGCAUAUCCUAAUGACAGUAAUUCGUUUUGUUCUAAGCGACCAAGUAUUCGCUUGCAACACUAUAGUUCUCACUUUGAGGAAACAUUCCUUUGAUGCCCAUGUUCAUUCCACUUGGAUGACAGAAUCCUCGAUAGUAUUAGUAUUAAUGAAUUAACUGUCAGGAUGUGUUGUCGUUCUUGAAGUAAGUCUUGUGAAAGAAACCACCGAGUUAAAAAUAGAGAUCUUGAUGGUUUUAUAUAUAAAAGUUUAAUGCUUGCCUAUUUAUACAUUUCCCAAGGACUGCUGAGGUAGAUGCGUUGUUCAGUUGACUAGGAUUUGUUUGAAUUCAAAGAUUAUCUAUUCAAGUCUUCUUUAUACGUUUGCAUGUGUUUGAUAAGAAUUCCAUUGAUUCAGAAAAAAAGUGCCAACAGUUUUUCCAACUUGACUGACACUACAACCUUCCAAUCAUAGCCAUACUACUAUGGUAUAAAAA